This 492-nucleotide ribosomal RNA is filed under the name uncultured bacterium. Its description in RNAcentral is "partial 16S ribosomal RNA". It matches the Rfam family "Bacterial small subunit ribosomal RNA", at positions 29 to 507 of the family's 1533-position model. The record is from RNAcentral.
AGUGAACGCUGGCGGUAGGCCUAACACAUGCAAGUCGAACGGCAGCACAGUAAGAGCUUGCUCUUACGGGUGGCGAGUGGCGGACGGGUGAGGAAUACAUCGGAAUCUACUUUUUCGUGGGGGAUAACGUAGGGAAACUUACGCUAAUACCGCAUACGACCUACGGGUGAAAGCAGGGGAUCUUCGGACCUUGCGCGAUUGAAUGAGCCGAUGUGGGAUUAGCUAGUUGGCGGGGUAAAGGCCCACCAAGGCGACGAUCCGUAGCUGGUCUGAGAGGAUGAUCGGCCACACUGGAACGGGGACACGGUCCAGACUCCUACGGGAGGCAGCAGUGGGGAAUAUUGGACAAUGGGCGCAAGCCUGGUCCAGCCAUACCGCGUGGGUGAAGAAGGCCUUCGGGUUGUAAAGCCCUUUUGUUGGGAAAGAAAAGCAGCAGGUUAAUACCCCGCUGUUCUGACGGUACCCAAAGAAUAAGCACCGGCUAACUUCGUG